RNAcentral lists this non-coding RNA (25 nucleotides) under Rattus norvegicus (Norway rat). Lineage: Eukaryota; Metazoa; Chordata; Mammalia; Rodentia; Muridae. The record is from RNAcentral.
GCCUGAAUUUGAAAGGGUGGAUGAA